RNAcentral lists this long non-coding RNA (18172 nucleotides) under Nicotiana benthamiana. RNAcentral's name for it is "long non-coding RNA (NBEN_LNC025410)". The record is from RNAcentral. Lineage: Eukaryota; Viridiplantae; Streptophyta; Magnoliopsida; Solanales; Solanaceae.
AAGAAUGACAGAAAACAACACUUCAUACAUUCCAAAUAUGGCACGACCCACCGUAGUUGUGACGGCGCCCAGCACACUACUAGGCAAGCCCGACCAUUUAUAAUAAUAACCCUAAUUUUUUAAACAGAUAAAGAUAACACUAUUUAAGUCAAACAUCUGAAAUAUUGAUAAUAAUGCGAAAAAUCUAACAAUAUACCAAUACAGCCCAACUAGGACCCGGUGUCACGAACAUGAGCCUCUAGAAUACAGAGUAAUAUCCUACUACAAAGUCUGUCUAAAAACUGAAAAUGCGAAAAUAAAGGAUAGAGAUAGAGGGGAGAAUCAUCUGCUGCGAACACCCCGCAGCUACCUCAAAAUACUUCCGGAAUAAAACUCUGGAUCAACUGGAUCCACUCAGCCUGAGACUGCCCUGGAUCUACACGCAAGGUGCGGGGAGUAAAGUGAGUACUCCGACCCAGUGAGUAAUAAACAUAACUACAGUCUAAAAGUAAGAAAACACAGAAAUGCACGAAGUACUCUAUAUCUAGCCGUUCAUAUCCAAAAUAGUGGAAACAAUAUACAACAAGUAAUACAGUUAAGAAAUAAUACAUGAAGGAAUGCAACACAUAUAAAAGUACACACUAGUACCCGCUGCGGCGUGCAGCCCCCUCCACUUAUUUAAUGUCGACGACACUCACUGGGGGUGUGUACAGACUCCGCAGGGGCUCCUACAGCCCAAGCGCAAUAUCAGCCAGGUAUUGGCAUAAGACAUGCUCUCAGUCUCAAUACCAAUAUAUAUAAUCGUUGCGACGUGCAUCCCGAUCCAUAUCAAGGAAAACUCCUCACUACCGAUGACCCAUCUCAGUCAAAUAAGUUCACAACCAAUCGGGCGUGACAUACUAUAGGGAUCUCAACCCUCAUAUCCUUAUUAAUUUAAUGUUCAUGUAUAAAACACAGUUAUUAUAUUAUUUCUAACAUUUGAAAACAUUACUGAGAAUCUAUUUUAUGCACACAAGUGAGGAAAAUACAUAAGUAUCCCCUAAGGAUUCUACAGGGCGGCACAAGGCCCCAAACACGUCAAUAAUCCCAAUUCACAAUAAUAAAGUAUGCGUCUCAAUCGCUAAUAUAGUAGAAAUUAACACUCGGGAUGGACUAAGUCUAAAUCCCCAACAGUAAACGACCCCGCACUCAUCGUGGAAUGCGUGUCACGCCUCAAUAUAGCGUUACGAUGUGAAUAUCUGGGGUUUCAAACCCUCAAAGCACCAUUUACAUCCAUUACUCACCUCUAGCCAGCCGAAAACCAGCUAGCAAUUCCCUUGCCUCUCGAAUCGACCUCAUCGCGUAUCGUAUCAGGCCAAAACCACAAUGAAUAUAUUACAAUAGGCCAAGGGAAUAUAACCCAAUUGGAAAGACUCGAAAAAUAUCAAAAACCAAAAAAUUUGCAAACCCGAGCCCCGGGCCCACUUCUCGAAAGGCAAAAAUUUUUACAUCAAAAUAUUCCUUAUCUCGCCAUCAGUAUAUAGAUGUAAAAUUUAUCAAAAUCGGAGUCCAAAUUCUCCCUAAAAUUCAAAUUUCUCAUUCAAAAACCCAAGCACUAAUUCUUUCCCUUUUUACUCAAAUUUCAUGAAUUUAGGUGUCGAAAUCACAAUUAGAUAAUGUUUCUAGGCACUAGGACUUACCUCCAAUCGACUCCCAGUCAAAACCCUCUAAAUUCCUCGUCAAAAGGUCCCAAGGUUGCUUAACAAUGGUGGAAAAUAGACUUGGUUCGCGGAUGAAAUGUUAUUAAAAACCCUCUAUUUCCAGCUAUUUCCUUCUAUGCGAACGCGAAACCCCCAUCGCGUUCGCGAUGCAUAAAAAUUCCUCAGACCAAAUUAACCCUUUGCGAAUGCAUCUAGUCUCCCGCGAACGCGAAGGCUCAGGGCCAAGACCUAUGCGAACGCGACCUAUUGAAUGCGAAUGCGUUGAACACCCAGGCUGGCCCUCUACUUUACUCUACGCGAAUGUGUGCCCCGUCCCGCGAAUGCGAAGCGCCAAUGCCUCAACCUAUGCGAACACGAGGCGCCAACGUGAAUGAUUUGAACAUUUUCCUAAAUUCCAAACUUAACCCUACAUGAGCGCGACACUUGCCAUGCGAACGCGAAGGCUUAAAGUAGCCUGCACUACUGUUGCAUUUUCUACAACUCAAAAAGUCCAAAAAUCCUUCCGUUGAUCACUCGGAAUCACCCCGAGGCCCCCGGUACCUCGACCAAAAGCACCAACAUAUCCCAAAACAUCAUACAAACUUAUUCAAAUCAUCAUAACACGUCAAACAACACUAAAACCCGACCUAUGUUUCUUCAAAACUUCCGAAUUGCACAUUCGAACAAAAUCCGACUUAAACACCUCCGAAUGACCUGAAAUUUUGCACACAUAUCCAAAAUAACCUAACGGAGGUAAUGAAACUCUCGAAAUUCUAUUUUGACCCUCGGAUCAAAAUCUCACUAUCAACCAUAAUUCUCCAAAAUUCAAACUUCACCAAUUCAAGCCUAAUUCUACAUCGGACCUCCAAAUUCAAUUCAGAUCGCACUCCUAAGUCAUAAAUUAUCACCCAAAGCUAACCGAAUUACCAUGAUUCACAUCCGAGCCCUCUAAAUUAAUAGUCAACUUUGAGUUGACUUUUCCAAAACAUGCUCACGAGUAAGCCCCCUUUCUUUUUUUUUAUGUUUUUCAAUCGCCUUUGUUUAUUGUGAAUCCGUUCGACAUAUAUGCCUUCACUCGGGCCUCAAAAAAGCAGAGAAAUGUUGAAGUGACGUCCAAGCCCGUGGUCGCAAUGCCGCCUCCACGCAAGCCCUCGGUCACCGAGCCGACCUCGUCCGCUCGGAAGGACACAACCUUGGCCAGCCUUCCGAGUUCUACCCCCGUGCCUCCACGCAAGCCCUCGGUCACCGAGCCAACCUCGUCCGCUCGGAAGGGAAGGAAGAAAGAAGGCGAACACGAAUACUAAAAAGCGGUUCAUGGGGACCCCCAAAAAAGGGGAUAGAGAGCGCGGAACGGGCUUUCCAAGCAUAAAACAAUCCCUACCUAUACAUUCCAUGGCAACAGACAGAAGGCUGUUUUGUCGUUGUUCUUAACCCCAGGCACAUUUCCGUUCCCAAUAAUCUCCAUGAAAAGACUACCAUGAUUUCCGAACGAACCGAGGGAGAGUCGAGGCAUGAAAAAACUUAUCUAUGAUCUGCUUAUUUCCAAGUACGUAUCAUCCGCUGCCUUAUCCGCCGUGGGCUUUCCAAGCAUAAAACAAGUGUCUCAUUUCCAUCUAAAACCAUCCAAUUCUACCCGAUCAACUCAAAUACUGAUAUUGAAUUAUAGAGAAGCAUAAUACGAUGGAAACAUGGCAGUAACUUAUAUGACGACGUGCCAGGUCGUCACAUCCGCCCCAACUAAAACAAACGCUCGUCCUCGAGCGGGUCAAGAAGCAUACCUGAAGCCUCAAAUAGGUGAGGAUAUUUCAAGUGGCCUCCUCCACGGGCCGACCUCUCCAAUGCACCUUCACCGAAGCUAUAUCCUUAGAUCUCAACUUCCGGACUGUUGAUACUCAAUUUUUUCCUAUAUAUUUUUAUUCUCAAAAUAAUCUCAAAAUAGCACAUGUAUUCAUAUAUGAGCAUCCCAAAAGAUUUUGGCCUUUUUAAAGGAUUUUGAACUAAUUUAUGGCCUAUUUUUACACCAUAAAUCCCAAUAAUUAUUUCCCAAAACUUGCCACUUUGGAGAAUAGUUUAUUUUAUUCUGACAUUUGCAUAAAAAACAUAGUGUACAUGAUUUUUGUAUAAUUUUAGGACUCCAUUUGGUAUUUUUAAAACUAUAUUGUAUGUAAUUACGAUUUUAGCACAUUUCUGGAUUUUAUAGCAAUUUUAAUUACAAAAUCAAUACCAAUAUUCUUAAAUUAAUACUUAUAUAUUGUUUACUAACCCAGUUCUUUUAAUUUGAUUUUUAACAUCUUUUACCAUUUUUAUAAAUUCAAAAGGGAAAAUUGCUAUUUCAAUUUUGGCCUCAAAUUACUUUCAAUUGUAUCCCAAUUUGGACCCCAGUUCUGACCCCCAGUAUUGAAUGACCCAAUUACCCGACCCAUUUCUAAACCCACCCGACCAUUGUUUUAAUUUAGGCCAUUAAUCAUUUUGAUCAACGACCACGAUUUCUCCAUUCCUUUUAAAAUUUCACAACACCCCAAACCCUACAUCAUUCACUCAAAUCCGCCGCCCCUAGAAUCCCUUCGUCUCAAACUCUCCCUAGCCCCUCCAAAACCCUAGACUUCUCCUAUUGGCUUCCACCAUGUUUCACCAGAAUCCAUGGAAUCCUUAAGCCCCGAGUGACCUGUACUCACCUCGACGUGCUCUUAUACACCUGCUACCGAAAGAUUCAAGGUCUGCCCUUAAAGGUUUUCGCACAUAUCAUCGUAGAUUCAAGUUUCACGGCCAUCUCCGGCAUGUCCUGGUCCUAUGAGCCUAUCUCUGGCUCACCUGGCUGUGAGCAGACCCUUUUCCAGGCCUUUCUCACUUCUAGGGUUCUUAUGAAACCCUAGCCCUUCGAGGUUUUCUUAUAUUUCUCAAGAUCCGCUUUAGAUCCAUGCUUGUCUUAUAGAGAAGACCCUUUUCCAGGCCUUUCUCACUUCCAGGGUUCUUCUGAAACCCUAGACCUUCGAGUUUUUCCUCUAUUUCUCUAGAUCCGCUCUAGAUCCAUGCUUGUUUUAAGGUUUUCAAAAGUUCUUAAUUCUCUUUCAAAAGUCUGCUUUCAAAAUUAUUCAUCUCCUUUGAUUUAGGGUUUCUUUGAUUUUACUUGUUAUACUGUGAUUUUAUGAGGUGUUCUUACUGUAUUUGUCCUACUAUGACUCCUGUUUGUUCCUACUUUGACUCAUGUGUGUUUUCUUCUACUAUGUUUCCUCUUAAUGUUCCAUUGUGUUUUCUUUUACUAUGUUUUCCUUCAGUAUCUUUUCACGGAACGAUUAAGUUCCUUUGGGUUUCUCUGAGUUUGCUCUUGCUUGAUUUGUUCGUUUUCGUCCCUUUACUAGACUACUGACGAAAACUUUAGAAUUUGGGGGGUUUUCAGACCACGUGUAUGUGACUUGCAUGUUCUCACCUCUCAACUAGUUUGAUUUUAAUUUUUCUAUUUUUCAUAUGGUUCUGACCUUUUUUCCAAAAGCUAGGUUUUCCUUCUUUCAUGUUUGAAGUGCUCGAAUGCUCCUUAUAUACUAUGAUUUUUCCCCUUAAAUGGUCUUUUGAAUUUGCAAUUAGUUCAAAAUCUCUUCUGAAUACAGCUUGAUUGAUUUCAUUCCAUUUUUGCCACGACUCGACCUAAGUAAAAACCUUCUCCUUUUCAGACUGGAUUCAUUUGUAUAAAAAUCUCAGACCUUUGAUUUACAGUUUGUAAUUGGUUUUCUUUCCUUAUUUAAAAAAACCUUUUCCUUAAAUAACGUUUAUGUAUUCACCCUUAUUUGUAUAUUAUGCGCAAUGUUAUUUAUUUGAACCUCUUCCUUAAAUAUUUCCCGUCCUUUAGUGAUCAAAUUGUGGUUCUUCAAUUAAAGGAACCUCUGUUAAUUGAUUGAUCUUAAUUGAUACUCGACUAAUUUUCUUUCCUUGCUUGCAUGUCUGAUUUCAAGUAUAAAUACAUGCUCUUCUUUUCACUUCAUUAUAGAAUUCUGACUACAAAUCAAAAUCAGAAUUCAUCUCUGUCUUCUUUAGUACUACUAUUACUACUAUCUAUUUCUCUACACUACUACUGAGCAUUCUAUAUUCGUACUUCUUGCUGUCUGAAUUUCUAAGCACUUAGGGAGUUUUCUUGAGUCUAUUCCUGUUGUUACUGGCUGUUUGUUUGCUGUUACUAUUUUGGUGUUCUAGAUUUUAUAAAUGGUAUGUUCUUCUAUGUUAAAUAGCAUCCUUGUUCAAUUUCUCCGCUUCUACCCCUUUUUCUUUGUGCAGCACUAUGAAUUGUUGUCUAUGAUCCGGAACUAGACUUUUCUCAAUCUUUACUCGAUUACUUUCCCAUUCCUUUUCCCCUCAAUAUGCCGAGCUCUAAUUUGGGUCUGUUGGUGUUCUGAUCACCAUUUAGACCUGAGUUUGAGUCUAUAAGAGUCUGUGCUUAUUUGUUUGAAUUUGAGCAGGAGGUUAGGGGUCUGGCAGUCUAUGCCAUUGGCUGGGUAUGACCACCUCCUUCUAAGGUUCCUCCCUCACUUUGCACUUACACCUAGCUCUUAAGUUCUACUCCCCUCUGGUAAGCCAUGCUUAGGGACCCUACAACUCCCUCUAAACUUAGAUGCCUAAGGGCUGGCAAUUUCACACGUUGCACUACUCUGUUACCACAUUCACUCUUAUGGGUGUAAGAAUUGCCUGGGCUCUUGAAGGUCCUUAGUACUUUGAAACACUCUAAGAGAAGGCAUUGGAAUCUAGAACCCGGAUUUGGUAAAACACAUGAAUUGGAUAUCAAGAUUGCAUUAGGUAGUUUGGAUCUAGCUGUGGGCUAUGAUGUAUUUUAUUUUUUUUUUUUACUUUGUAAUAAAAAUGACUCUUACCAGCCCAUUGGAUAUCAAGAUUGCAUUAGGUAGUUUGGAUCUAGCUGUGGGCUAUGAUGUAUUUUAUUUUUUACUUUUGGCUCUGUAAUAAUAACUUUGUAAUAAAACUUUGGAAAUAUAGUAGUAAAGGGUAUGGUAGGGUUUUUAGUUGUUUUGCAUGUUAAAGGACAGAAAUCAUGCCUAUAGGACUUUUACUAAUUCGAAUCACUUAGAUAUCAUGCCUAUUGGACUUUUACUAAUUUGAAUCACUUAUCAUGCCUAUAGGACUUUUACUAAUUUGAUUCACUUAGAUAUCAUUCCUAUAGGACUUUUACUACUUUGAAUCACUUAGAUAUCAUGCUCAUGGGCUUUGUAACGUUGAAUCAUCCAGAGAUCAUGUCCAUAGGCUUGCAUUUUUCUUAUAUAGAAAUCAUGCCUAUAGAAUUGCAUAAUGAUAGGCAAACAAUAGGGUAACACAACUAUUUCCUGUCUGAAACGUCUAAAAUAGCAUUGAAUAAAUACAAAUCGAAGUAGAAAUCAUGCUUAUAGGAUCUCAAAACUCGCUUAAGCCGUAUAAUCAAUAAUCUGGCAAUUGUUUCAAUGUCUUCAACAUAAUUCGUCCAAACUUGUCUGCAACUCUAAGAACUUGUAUUUCUGUCGCUAAAAUCAUUUUCCAAAUCUCUGUCUGAACUUUUAUUCAUGAGGUUACUUUCAAACAGCUUUCAAACUCUCGCCUCUUUUUAUGAACACUUUACUUCUGAAACUCUGAUGUACAUUUCUUUAAAUAGUCCCAGCGAUUUUCCAAAACCUUUUUAAACUUCUGCAACUUCUGCUUCUUUCAAAACUUGUCUAUGUUAACCCUUAAUUAAGAAUUUGGUAAAAUGCUCCAGAUACUAACAAUUGGAUCCAAGUUGCCUAAUGUAGACGUUUUAUAUAAUUCUAUGUAUUAAACUGAUCCGUCCACCGCUUAAUUUUAAUUUAAGACCAAACCAGUAUAUGCAAGACAUGCUAAACGACAUGUUGUCUGUUUAAAGGGGUUUCUUUGAGCCUUGGCCUGUCUUAUUUUAUUUCCCCUACUUGGUAUCUGUUUUGAAUGACAAAUUAGACUUUUAUCCUUUGAAACUACAUGGAAAGCCCCAAUCCCUUUCUUCCCCUUUUAGGAUUAGAAGUCCUAACACCCCAGGACUGAUAGGAUGGAGCGGGUACUAGCAUGCAAUAAGUAAAACGAGACUAAUCGUGUUUAAAUACCCUAACGGGGUGGGAAGGAUAAAAUAUGAAUAUGAUAACUGGUGCGCUGAUAUCUCGUGUGAGAAUGAUUGUUGGGUAUUGCACCAAAGUGAUCCAUAUUAUAUUGAACCCUAGGACACAUUUCUUCUUCUUUAUUAAUGCUUUAUCUUAUAUUAAUGUUUUCAACCAAAAUUCCUCUUUUCAAAACAACUUGUGUCUUUCUUCUUUCAAAAUUUCCAACUUUCUAUGUUUCCUAUGUGCAAACUUUGCUUGUUUACUCCUACUCUUCUUAAAGUCACAAUUAAGAAUGGCCGGAACCGAUCUUGAGGGGUGCCUAAAAGCUUCCCCUUGAGAUAAUCUCAAUCCCUUACCCGAACUCUAGUUUUCUUUGAAAAUCUUCUUCUUUUCUUCUUAAAGUGUCCGAAUGCACUAUAAUCAUUAGGUGGGGACUCUCCAAAAUCCAUAACCCAAAUUCCCCAAAAAGGGAUAACAGAGUUAUUCCACCCAUAAUGUCGAAACCCACUUUUCGCCCUUUAGAAAAAUAGGGGCGUCGACACGGAUCUGAGGACCCAAAAUAGCCACUGGCUCCACUGCAUAAGUUAGAUCUUCAUCCAACUGAACAUUGCUGAUGUCUAACACAUGAGACGGGUCCCCAACAUACUUUCGGAGCAUUGAAACAUGGAACACCGGGUGAACUCCCGACAAGCUGGGUGGCAAAGCAAGCAUAUAGGCCACCUCCCGAAUCCUCCUAAGUAUCUCAAGGUCCAAUGAACCGUGGACUCGGCUUCCCUUUCUUUCCAAACCUCAUAACGCCUUUCAUAGGCGAAACCUUCAACAAGACCUUAUCGACGACCAUAUAAUAUACAUCUCGAACCUUCCGGUCCAUAUAACUCUUUUGACGCAACUGAGCCGUACAAAGUCUCUCCUGGAUCACUUUCACCUUCUCUAUGGCAUCAUGAACCAACUCUGUCCCCAACAACCUAGACUCACUGGUCUCCAACCAACCGACUGGAGAUCGAAACCCUCUCUCAUAUUAUGCCUCAUACGACACCAUCUGAAUGCUAGAAAUAAUAACUGUUGUUGUAGGCAAACUCUGCAAGAGGUAGAAACUCAUCCCAAUAACCUCCAAACUCAAUCACACAGGCACACAACAUAUCCUCCAAUUUCUGAAUGGUACGCUCGGACUGUCCAUUUGUCUGAGGAUGAAAUGGUAAACUCAGCUCCACCUGAGUACCCAACUCGUGCUGAAAAGUCUUCCAAACUGAGAAAUGAACUGAGUACCCCUAUCCGAUAUAAUAGAAACUGGAACACCAUGCAAUCGGUCAAUCUCACGAAUAAAGACCCCUGCCAACCACUCUGAAGAAUAUGUGGUACACACUAGAAUGAAAUGCACGGACUUGGUCAGUCGAUCCACAAUAACCCAAAUCGAAUCGAACUUCUUCAAAGUCCGAGGAAGACCACUCACAAAAUUCAUGGUAACUCUCUCCCAUUUCCACUCAGGAAUAACUAUCUGCUGAAGCAAACCGCUCGGUCUCUGAUGCUCAUAUUUUACCUGCUGACAAUUGAGAUACCGAGCCACACAUACCACAAUGUCUUUCUUCAUUCUCCUCCACUAGUAAUUCUAUCUCAAGUCCUGGUACAUCUUCGCGGCACCCGAAUGGAUGGAAUACAAUACCGCGAACUGUGGGCUUCCUUAAGAAUGAAAUCUCUAAGCCCAUCUACAUUGGGCACACAAAUUCGUCCUUUCAUCUUCAACACACCAUCAUCACCUAUAGUCACAUCCCUAGCAUCUCCGUGAUGAACUCUGUCCUUGAGGACAAGCAAAUGUGGAUCAUCAUACUGGCGCUCUCUGAUGCAAUCAUACAAGGAAGAUUGGGAAACCACGCUCACUAACACUUGGCUAGGCUCCGAAAUAUCUAACUGCACCAACUGAUUGGCCAAAGUCUGAACAUCAACUGCAAGGGGUAUCUCCCCGACUGGAAUAUACGCCAAACACCCCAUACUAACUGCCUUUCAGCUCAAAGCAUUGGCCAAUACAUUGGCCUUUCCCGGAUGAUACAAAAUGGUAAUAUCAUAGUCCUUAAGUAACUCAAGCCAUCUCCACUGCCUCAAAUUAAGAUCUUUAUGCUUGAGUAAAUGCUGAAGGCUGCGAUGAUCGGUGAAUACCUCACAAGAUACUCCAUAUACAACAAAUCCCGACUCUCGAAGCAUCACAAUAAACGAUGUAAGAACCUGAAGUUGAUGGCAAGACCAAUAGUGGAGCUGUGGUCAAAGAUGUAUUGAGCUUCUGAAAGCUCUCCUCGCACUCAUCCGACCAUACAAACGGGGCAUCCUUCUGUGUCAACUUGGUCAAGGACGAGCCAAUAGAUGAGAAACCCUGAAUGAACCAGUGAUAAUAACCCGCCAAACCAAGGAAACUAUGAAUCCCUAUGGCCGAGGACGGUCUAGGCCAACUCUAAACUGUCACAAUCUUCUUUGGAUCAACAUGAAUACCAUAACUGGACAUCACGUGUCCCAAGAAGGCCACAGAACUAAGACAAAACUCGCACUUGGAGAACUUGGCAUAUAACUUCACCUCCCUCAAUCUCUGCAAUACCACUCCUGACUACGAAAGUAUACUAGAAUAUCAUCAAUGAAUAUAAUAACAAACGAAUCCAGAUACGAUCUAAAUCCACUGUUCAUUAGAUGCAUGAACGAUGCUGGGGCAUUGGUCAGCCCGAAAGACAUAACCAGAAACUCAUAGUGGCCAUCUCUAGUCAUGAAGGCAGUCUUAAGAAUAUCUGACUCCUUGAUCUUCAACCGGUGAUAACCCGAACGAAGAUCAAUCUUAGAAAACACCCUCGCUCCCUGAAGCCGGUCGAAUAAAUCAUCGAUGUGAGGUAGGGUAUACUUGUUCUUCCCUGUUACUUUAUUCAACUGCCUGUAGUCAAUGCACAUUCUCAUUGUGCCAUCUUUAUUCUUCACAAAUAACACAGGUGUACCCCACGGUGACACAGUAGGCCGAAUAAACCCCUUUUCUAGGAGUUCCUGAAGCUGGUCUUUUAAUUCUUUCAACUCGCUGGUUCCAUACGAUAAGGCAGAAUGGAAAUGGGCUUGGUUCCCGACACCGGGUCAAUGCCAAAGUCAAUGUCCCUUUCCAGUGGCAACCUCGGUAGGUAUAUAAGAAAUACAUCAAGGAAGUCCCUCACAACGGGGACAGAAUCUAUACCGGGAGCCUCAGCUCCAACAUCGCGCACAAAGGCCAAAUAUGAUAAACAACCUUUCCCAACCAUGCAUUGGGCUUUCAAGAAAGAUAUAACCCUACUAGGGACAAAAUCAGUCGUACCACGCCACUCGAUCCUCGGAACACUCGGCAUAGCCAAAGUGGCUAUCUUUGCAUGACAGUCUAGAAUAGCAUGACCCAGAGAUAACCAUUCCAUGCCCAGAAUGUCAUCAAACUCAACCAUGCUCAAAAGCAACAAAUCAACUCAGGUCUCUAGACCCCAAUUAGAACAAGACAGGACUGAUACACAUGGUUCACAAUAAUAGUAUCAUCCACCGGGGUAGAUACUUGCACAGGUAAAGCAAGACACCCUUGGGUCGUACUUAAACGAUGAGAAAAAUAUGAAGACACAUAGGAAUAGGUAGAACUGGGAUCAAAUAAGACAGAGGCAUCUCUGUGGCAGACCAAAAUAAUACCUGUGAUAACAUCUGAUGCAAGGGAAUCCAUCCUGCCUGGGAUAACAUAAAAUCUUGCUUGGACAUCGCCACAUGAUCCGUUUCGCCCCUAGGGAGACCCCCGGCUUCCUGGCCUCCGCCCCUCUCUGACUGGACUAGUGCUGAAGAAUUCAGAGCAGAAGACAAUGGCUGAUCCCUCUGCUAAGACUGGCUACCAUGAUGUCGAGGACACUGCCUCCUCAUAUGUCCAAACUCUCCUAACUCGAAGCAAAUACCACAUGUUGGAGAAGGGGAGUAAUUGGAACCCCUCGCACUAGAAUGACCAGCCGAUGUGCCCUGCGCAGAAGAACCCUGAGCUGAAGGGGCAUGUGAAGAGCUAUGAGCUGGGAUGGUACUAAGUGAAGACUGGCCCUGCUGGAACCCCUGAUGAUCACAGCUUGAAGACGCCCUCCGCUAUACUGAACCUGGCCCCUAAAAAGAGCACCACUGAAGCUAUCUGAUCCUCGAGGCCUCUUGGCCUCCCUCUCCUCUCUCUCCUGACAGCGAGCUGUCUCAAUAUCACGAGCAAUAUCCACUGCAUCCUCAAAGGUAUGACUUAGAAUCCUCUCUCGGGUCAUCAGAAUAUGGAGGAGAUAGAUAAGUCCAUCCACAAACCUCCUAAUCCUCUACCGAUCAGUGGGGACCAUCCAUGGAGCAUAACGAGCCAACUUCAAAAUCUCACCUCAUACUGUGACACAGUCAUAUCUCCCUAACGAAGCCACUCAAACUGUCUCCGCAGCUCCUCCCUGGACAUGAUAGAUAAGUUCAUCCACAAACCUCUUAAUCCUCUCCCGAUCAGUCGGGACCAUCCAUGGAGCAUGUAGAGCCAACUCCGAAAAUCUCACCCCAUACUGUGACAUAGUCAUAUCUCCCUGACGAAGCCACUCAAACUGCCUUUGUAGCUUCUCCCUCUAAGACUACAAUACCCACUUCUCCAAAAAGAGAGUGGAGAACUCCUACCAUGACAAAGUCGCUACACCUCUCGGCCUACGCCGCUCAUAAGCCUACCACCAAGUGAAGUCUUCUCUAGAAAACGGAAAAGUAGUAAAUGAUACCUGCUCGACUCCAAGAGCCCUGCGGUCCGAAGCAUACGUCGACACUUGUAGAGAAAACCCUGGGAAUUCUUGCUUGGAACACCAUUGAAAGUAGGAGGUGAGAGCCUACUAAACCUCUUGAGACGAUGCUGCUCAUUGUCUGGCAUAGCUGGAAUCACAUCCUCCUCAACUGGGGAAACCGGCUGAACUGGGGCAACCGACUGAACUGGGGCAACCUUCUGAACUGGCGAUGCCUCUGGUGUCUGCAAAUCCUCCACUCCCCGCUGGCGUGCGAGCAACAGGGAUCUGAUUGCUUCCCCUAGCCUGUGAUGUAGUUGUUGCAGUAGUGGUUGGGAGGGCCUGAGCCAGGCCAGUGCAAACUGAUAGAAUCUGAGCUAGGGCCUUCUGAAGACCCGGAAUCACAAUAGGCACAACUGGUGCCUGAACAGGUGCUGCUGGAGUCUCCACAGCUGGAGCCUGCUCCUGAUCCGGGAAAACUGGUAGGUCAACAAGUGCUGCCCCCUCAUCUCUGCCUCGACCACGAACUCGACCGCGUCCACGGCCUCUAGUGGCCUCAGUAGGUGAUACAGGUUGUCGUCUGCCACAUCUAGUAGCACGGGUUAUCACCAUCUAUGAGUGAAUAGAAUAAUAGAAUUUAGUUCUCGGAGCAACAAAGUCGCACGAUAAGAAUUCCAAGAAUAUAAAGUUUCUUAAUGGUUCUGCAGCAUCCCGAGGAUAGGUACAAACGUCUCCAUACCGAUCUGCGAGACUCUACUAAACUGUCUCAUGACUCGCGAGACCAAGUAACCUGGCUCUGACACCAACUUGUCACGACCCCAACCCGAUCGUAAUGGCACCGAGCACACUACUAGGCAAGCCCCACCAUUUAUAACAAUAACCCCAAUUUAUUAAAUAGAUAAAGAUAAUGCCAUUUAAGUCAAAAGUCUGAAAUACUGAUAAUAAUGCGGAAUAUCUAACAAAAUAACAAUACAGCCCAACUAGGACCCGAUGUCACGAACAUGAGCCUCUAGAAUACAGAGUAAUAUCCUACUACAAAGUCUGUCUAAAACUGAAAAUACGGAAAUAAAUGAUAGAAAUAGAGGGGAGAAUCAUCGGCUGUGAACACCCUGCAGAUACCUCAAAAUACUCCCGAAAUAAAACUUUGAAUCAACUAGAUCUACUCAGCCUGAGACUACCCUGGAUCAGCACGCAAGGUGCAGGGAGUAAAGUGAGUACUCCGACCCAAUGAGUAAUAAACAUAACUACAGUCUGUAAGGAAGAAAACGCAGAAAAUGCACAAACUUUUCUAUAUCUAGCAGCUCAUAUCCAAAAUAGUGGAAACAGUAUACAACAAGUUAUACAGUUAAGAAAUAAUGCAUGAAAGAAUGCAACACAUAUAACGGUACACACUAGUACCCGCUGCGGCGUGAAGCCCACUCCACUUAUCUAACGUCGAUGGCGCUCAUUGGGGGUGUGUACUGACUCCUGAGGGGCUCCUAUAGUCCAAGCGCAAUAUCAGCCAGGUAUUGGCAUAAAAUAAGCUCUCGGCCUCAAUAUCAAUAUAUAUAAUCGCUGCGGCGUGAAACCUGAUUCAUAUCAAGGAAACAUCCUCACUACCGGGUCCCCGACCCAUCUCAAUAAAAUAAGUUCACACCAAUUGGGCGUGACAUACUAUAGGGAUUUUAGCCCUCACAUCCUUAUUCAUUUAAUGUUAAUGUAUAAAAUACAGUUAUUAUAUUAUUUUUGACAUUUGAAAACAUGACUGAGAAUCUAUGUUAUGCACAAAAAUGAGGAAAACACAUAAGGAUCCCCUAAGGAUUCUACAGGUCGGCACAAGGCUCAAACACGGCAAUAAGCCCAAUUCACAAUAAUAAAGUAUGCAUCUCAAUCGCCAAUAUAGUAAACAUUAACACUUGGAAUGGACUAAGUCUGAAUCCCCAAUAGUAAACGACCCCGCUCUCAUCGUGGAAUGCAUCUCACACCUCAAUAUAGCAUUAGAAUGUGAAAGUCUGGGGUUUCAAACCCUCAGAGCAGCAUUUACAUUCAUUACUCACCUCUAGCCGGCCGAAAACUAGCUAGCAAUGUCCUUGCCUCUCGAAUCGACCUCCUCGCAUGUCGAAUCUGGCCAAAACUACAACGAAUACAUUACAAUAGUCUAAGGGAAUAUAACCCAAUCAAAAAGACUCAAAAAAUAUCAAAAACCACGAAAUUUGCAAAACCCGAGCCCUGGGCUCACUUUUCGAAAGUCAAAAAAUUUAACACCAAAAUAUUUCUUAUCUCUCCACGAGUCUAUUCAUGUAAAAUUUAUCAAAAUCAGAGUCCAAAUGCUCCCAUAAAUUCCAAUUUCUCAUAAAAAACCCAAGCCCUAGUUCUUCCCCUUUUUACUCAAAUUUCAUGAAUUUAGGUGUUGAAAUCACAAUUAGAUGAUGUUUCUAGGCCAUAGGGCUUACCUCCAAUCGAUUCCUAGUCAAAAACCUCUAAAUUCCUCAUCAAAAGCUCCCAAGGUUGCUUGAGAAUGGUGGAAAAUAGACUUGGUUCGCGGAUGAAAUGUUAUUAAAAACCCUCUCUGCUCGUCUAUUUCCUUCUAUGCGAACGCGAGACCCCCCCCCCCCCCNNNNNNNNNNNNNNNNNNNNNNNNNNNNNNNNNNNNNNNNNNNNNNNNNNNNNNNNNNNNNNNNNNNNNNNNNNNNNNNNNNNNNNNNNNNNNCCCCCCCCCCCCUCGCGUUCACGAUGCACAAAAAUUCCUCAGAUCAAAUUAAGCCUUCGCAAAUGUAUCUGGUCUCCCGCGAACGUGAAGGCGCAGGGCACAGACAUAUGCGAACUCGACCUAUUGAACAGGAACGCGUUGAACACCCAGACUGACCCUCUACUUUACUCUACGUGAACGCGUGCCCCAUCCCGCGAACGCGAAGCGCCAAUGCCUCAACCUACGCGACCACGUUGAUCAUUUUCCUGACCUCCAAAAUUAACCCUACGCGAACGUGACACUUGCCACGUGAAUGCGAAGGCUUAAAAAUAGUCUACACUGCUGUUGCAUUUUCUGCAACACUCAAAGUCCAAAAAUCCUUCUGUUAAUCACCCGGAAUCACCCCGAGGCCCAAGGGACCUCGACCAAAAACACCAACAUAUACCAAAACAUCAUACAAACUUAUUCCAAUCAUCAUAACACGUCAAACAACACUAAAAUCAUAAAUUCACAUAAGAUUCAAGCCUAAGUUUCUUCAAAACUUCCGAAUUGCACAUUCGAUAAAAAACCCGACCUAAACACCUCCGAAUGACCUGAAAUUUUACAUAGAUAUCCAAAAUUACCUAACAGAGCUACUGUAACUCUCGAAAUUCCAUUUCAAGCCUUGAAUCAUAAUCUCACCUAUCAAUCGGAAAUCGCCAAAAUUUAAACUUCGCCAAUUCAAGCCUAAUUCUGCAUCGGACCUCAAAAUUCAAUUCCGAUAGCACUCCUAAGUCAUAAUCAUCCCCCGAAGCUAAUCAAAUCAUCAUGAUUCACAUCUGAGCCCUAUAACUAAAUAGUCAACUUCCAGUUGACUUUUCCAAAGUAAGCUUCCCUUUAAGAGACUAAAUGUCUCAUUUUCAUCUGAAACCAAUCCAAUUCUACCUGAUAAACUCAAAUACUGAUAUUGAAACAUAGAUAAGUAUAAUAUGAGGUAAACAAGGCGGUAACUCACGUGACAACGGGCCGGGUCAUCACAAAAUAUAGUCUCGAGUUGAUUACAAUGAGCAAGCAAUUAAAUCACAGAACACUAAUCAGAAAUGUGACAGGACUAUUGAAAUUACGAAUCUACAUUAGAGAAUCAUCAUCAAUUCCAUUUCAUAUCUCAACAUGUGAAGCUACAUGAUAGAGUCUCGAGGUAUGUACCUAGAAUGAGAAAGGAAUAGAAAAUGAGCAAAUCAACAGCAACACAGGACUUAGCAAAAGCUCCAGAAAUCCAGCAAGGGAUAACGGGGUCUCGAAAAAUAAGUAAUUUCUGCUGGGCCUUUAUCCUUUUUGUAGGUUCAUUAGGCUUCUUAUUAGUUGGAACUUCCAGUUAUCUUGGUAGAAAUUUGAUAUCUUUUUUUCCGCCUCAGCAAAUCAUUUUUUUUCCACAUCUGCUGGGCCUUUAUCCUUUUUGUAGGUUCAUUAGGCUUCUUAUUAGUUGGAACUUCCAGUUAUCUUGGUAGAAAUUUGAUAUUUUUUUCCCGCCUCAGCAAAUCAUUUUUUUUACUUAAAGUAGACUCUUAAACACCCAAGAGUGCUUCAGUGAUCAACAAUCACUAAAACUGGCUCAAAAUUGAUCCGUUUGAACCCAAAUCAACUAAAAACCAAAUCAGAGAUCAUUGUGGACUUUAAUUACUAGAAUCUGAACUAAGAGAAGUCAAUCAAUCACAACAUUUGAAAUUAAACUUGAGGAAUAGAUGGAAAAGUACUAUUUUUUGGGGUUUUCAGCUUUUGUAUAUAUAUUUUUUGAUUUUUUUAGGUUGGAAAAAGGGAUUUCAAACUUUGAGAUCUAGAAUUUAAAAUCUGAAAUUCAAAUAUUUCAAUCCGGAAACUAUGGCCUAUUUGUUGGGAAUUAGAUGACUGAAAAAAGACCCCUCACCAAGGCAAUUGUGAUGCAUUUUAUAGGCAUCCAGAAGAGAGCAACAGACUUCAAAAUUUCUUUUAGGUCCCUGUUAAUUUUCCACUUUUAGUCCCUGUAUUUUUAACUUGGGACACAAGGACCUACCACUAUCAAUCUAAACUUUUAACUACCACUCAUCCUAGAAGCUUCUAGUAAUUUCCAAAUUCAGUCCCCAAAUGAAAUCCCCAAAUUAACCCUUUAUUAACUAAUUAUACUUAGGAUUGACCCACUAACUCUAAUCAACUAAACUAAACAUGGAUGUACUAAACUAUAACUAAAAGUUAUCUGACAAAAAAAAAAAGAAUUAAUCACAGAAUUUGUUCAAUUAUUAACCAACUCGAUCAACAAUAAAAAGUAUACCACUAUAUUAGUCUAACAGAACUAAGCAUAGAGGUCAAGCUAAACUAGAAAACAUUUAAAAGACAACUACCAUAUUGAACUAAUCGGAACGAAUAGUUAGCAGGCGAUAGUUAAACUAAAAAUCAAAACCUAUCGGACCCUAAACAUUAACUAAUCAUGCAAACUAAUUAUUGUCAAAAUAAUUCUAACACUCUAAUUGAAUCCACAUGCUAGCAAGAAAAAUAGGGAUAUAAGAGUGACUGAAAAAGAAAUAAAAAGGAAGGGAACAAACUUACUAAACAAAAUCCGUCCAGUUCAUCAAUUCUCUAAUUUGGCCAUUUCCGAUGAAAUUCGAGCUCUAAUGGCACUAAAAUCUUUAUGAGGUCAGUCCAGGAACCCUAUCAUAUCUCAUUUGGUAAGGAUUGGUUAUUUAAGUUUUGGCUAGAGAAUCUAAAAAUAUAAAUUCGAGAAUUUACAGUGAGAUUCGAGAUGUGUGGUUAUGAGGGUUGGGUAGAGAACGAUAAGGAGAACCUAUGGUGUGAAUUUGGGAUAAGUGACAUCAUGGCCAAAAAACUUUAAAUGGAUAUUCGAUGAGCUCUAGUGGGAUUUGAAAGAAACAAGCAACAUAUUCGAGUAGAGGAGGCGGAGAGGAAGUUAGGGUGUUAUUUUGGGGUGGUUUGGAGGUGGUAACGUUCACCGCCGGCGGCGACUUCCGGCGGCGUUACAGAGAUACGAGGAAGACGACUUAUGUAUUAGGGUUAGUUAAUUUUUUU